CGCUGGCGGCAUGCCUAACACAUGCAAGUCGAACGAGACCUUCGGGUCUAGUGGCGCGCGGGUGCGUAACGCGUGGGAACCUGCCUUUAGGUUCGGAAUAACUCAGAGAAAUUUGAGCUAAUACCGGAUAAUGUCUUCGGACCAAAGAUUUAUCGCCUUUAGAUGGGCCCGCGUUGGAUUAGCUAGUUGGUGGGUAAAGGCCUACCAAGGCGACGAUCCAUAGCUGGUCUGAGAGGAUGAUCAGCCACACUGGGACUGAGACACGGCCCAGACUCCUACGGGAGGCAGCAGUGGGGAAUAUUGGACAAUGGGCGAAAGCCUGAUCCAGCAAUGCCGCGUGAGUGAUGAAGGCCUUAGGGUUGUAAAGCUCUUUUACCCGAGAUGAUAAUGACAGUAUCGGGAGAAUAAGCUCCGGCUAACUCCGUG
RNAcentral lists this ribosomal RNA (426 nucleotides) under uncultured bacterium. RNAcentral describes it as "bacterial SSU rRNA". It matches the Rfam family "Bacterial small subunit ribosomal RNA", at positions 34 to 507 of the family's 1533-position model. The record is from RNAcentral.